CCUAGACUGAGUUUGAAACUAAAAGUCCCCUGUCCCAUCAGCUCAGGAAGUGACAAUAUUAAAUAAAAGCCUUCCUGACGUGCCUUCUGGAACCUUUCUCAUCAGAGUUCCAAGAACGAUAACUUUCGUUUUUAGAGAACAAGAUAUUAAAAGAGCAGAGUGAUAUCCUUUGUCUGAUUGCUUUAUAUGAAUUUUGCAGUUUUUCCUCAAACUGCACAGCUUAGACUUCUAAUUAUUCUUUUCUCCCAACAGGUCUCAUUUUACCCUACACAAAUCUGAAAGUUCAAACUUCCACUUUAAUGUCUUGUUAGCAAUUUUUAAUAAUUUUGUCAAAUUGACAUUAAAUAUAUACCUAUCUCCUUUUCUUUCUUUGCUUGUAAGUUUACUAGGGGCAGAUUUAAUAAAUACCUGAUGACUUUCUUUUCCCUUUUAUUUUGAGAAUGAGCCUUUGGGAUUAUUGUUCUUUCUUCCAAUAGUAGUUUAUUAAAGAAUAAAUUCUACAUCAACAUUCAUUUUAUAGAUGAGACAGCGACUUAGCAGCAGAUCAUUUUCCCUCUUAUUUUAUGUCAAUAUUAUAAUAUGUUGAUAUUUUCUUGAUGCAGUAACUUCACAUACAUAACAUGAUUACUUUUGAGUUCACCACAAAAUUAUAAUUUGUGAUUUACCAUUAUGAGCAAUAUACAUAAUAUUACAAAAACAGAACUUAUAGUAAUGGUAAAUUAUACCAAAUUUCUUGCAAUUUCUUAGAUAUGCCACAUAGGGUUUUUUUUUAGGCAUCCAAGUCAUUACAAACAAUUUUACUUCAGCCUACAAUGUCCUUUCCUAGCUUCUAAGCCUCUUUUAUCUAUCAAGACCAAAUUGAAAGGUCACUGUCUCUGUAGUCUUCCACAUCUCACUCUCUUCUCUGUAUUGCCAUGGCUCACUAUACUAAGUUUGUACUUGGCAAAGCUGAAUACCAUCAAGGCCAAGUCCUUGAUGUCUAUAUUCUUCCCCAGAACCUAGUACUGAUUUGUACAUUACAUGGACACUUAAUUAAUAUCAUUGGAGGAGUAAGGGAAUGAAUUAAUAAGUAAACCAAACUCAAUACCCCUUCACUGAAAUUAGUUAUUGGUUUCUUGAGAGUUAAAGCAAAGAAGGAAAAAAAAAUAAGGAUGUCUUAUAUAAUCUGUCAGUGUGACCCUGUAGCUGCUAAAUGACAUGAAUACCUAAUGCAUCCUACACAAUGCUGAUACAGACACUUAGUAAAUGUUCCCCCCAUCCAUCCUCCAUUAUGUACACACAAUUGUUUUAGCAGAAUGAAAAUAAGAAGAUCAGUGUUUGAAGUUGUAUCAAAUAUUGUGAUGAGAGAAAUGAGCUUCUUUAUCCUUUGAGAGAUUAACUGGAUUGUCCAGUGGAGGUGGCUGAGCAGGUUGAUAACUACCCAAGUUAGAAGACUAUCUUGGUGCCCAAGACAAAAAAGAAGCUGUAGUACCUCUAAGCACAGAGGAAAUUAAAAUGCCAUGGUCAAUUAGCCAUGUUUGCCUUGGGCACAAGACAGGGAACUGGAGCUUCUUGUCCAAGAUCUAGAAUCUAUUUCCUUAAACUGAAGCAGACCUGGAAUAACUUACUGAGUUAAUGAAGUACACAGAGUGAUUAACAAAAGUGAAGACCUGGGGGCUGGAGUGUAGUCCAAUGAUAGAGUACUCCCCUGGCAGCCUCAAGGCCCUGGGUUCAGUUCCAGAGCUUCUCCCUGGGAUGCCUUAGAAAAUUAUGCUAAUACAGGGGAAAUUCUAGAGAAAGGUAUUG
This 1785-nucleotide long non-coding RNA is filed under the name Marmota monax (woodchuck). The record is from RNAcentral. Lineage: Eukaryota; Metazoa; Chordata; Mammalia; Rodentia; Sciuridae.